Molecule: transfer RNA, 72 nt
Filed under: Spongospora subterranea
Lineage: Eukaryota; Endomyxa; Phytomyxea; Plasmodiophorida; Plasmodiophoridae
Description: tRNA-Phe
Rfam family: tRNA
About the family: Transfer RNA (tRNA) molecules are approximately 80 nucleotides in length. Their secondary structure includes four short double-helical elements and three loops (D, anti-codon, and T loops).
Source: RNAcentral
GUUUAGAUAGCUCAGUGGUAGAGUAAAACACUGAAAAUGUUUCUGUCGUCGGUUCAAAUCCGAUUCUAAACA